AGCGAACGCUGGCGGCAGGCUUAACACAUGCAAGUCGAACGGGCAUCUUCGGAUGUCAGUGGCAGACGGGUGAGUAACACGUGGGAACGUACCCUUCGGUUCGGAAUAACUCAGGGAAACUUGAGCUAAUACCGGAUACGCCCUUUUGGGGAAAGGUUUACUGCCGAAGGAUCGGCCCGCGUCUGAUUAGCUUGUUGGUGGGGUAACGGCCUACCAAGGCGACGAUCAGUAGCUGGUCUGAGAGGAUGAUCAGCCACACUGGGACUGAGACACGGCCCAAACUCCUACGGGAGGCAGCAGUGGGGAAUAUUGGACAAUGGGCGCAAGCCUGAUCCAGCCAUGCCGCGUGAGUGAUGAAGGCCUUAGGGUUGUAAAGCUCUUUUGUCCGGGACGAUAAUGACGGUACCGGAAGAAUAAGCCCCGGCUAACUUCGUG
Molecule: ribosomal RNA, 435 nt
Filed under: uncultured bacterium
Lineage: Bacteria
Description: partial 16S ribosomal RNA
Rfam family: Bacterial small subunit ribosomal RNA
Source: RNAcentral